UACGAAGGGGGCUAGCGUUGCUCGGAAUUACUGGGCGUAAAGGGCGCGUAGGCGGACAGUUUAGUCAGAGGUGAAAGCCCAGGGCUCAACCUUGGAAUUGCCUUUGAUACUGACUGUCUUGAGUUCGGGAGAGGUGAGUGGAAUGCCGAGUGUAGAGGUGAAAUUCGUAGAUAUUCGCAAGAACACCAGUGGCGAAGGCGGCUCACUGGCCCGGUACUGACGCUGAGGUGCGAAAGCGUGGGGAGCAAACAGG
RNAcentral lists this ribosomal RNA (253 nucleotides) under uncultured bacterium. RNAcentral describes it as "partial 16S ribosomal RNA". It matches the Rfam family "Bacterial small subunit ribosomal RNA", at positions 524 to 776 of the family's 1533-position model. The record is from RNAcentral.